AGCAGCCGCGGUAAUUCCAGCUCCAAUAGCGUAUAUUAAAGUUGUUGCAGUUAAAAAGCUCGUAGUUGAAUUUCGGAAUCUGUCCGUCGGUCGGGCUUCACUGUCCGUACUGGCGUGAUGGGUUUCUACCUUCUGAAUAACCGGCAUGUCAUUAAUUUGGUGCGCCGGGGAAGCAGAACUAUUACCUUGAAAAAAUUAGAGUGCUUAAAGCAGGCUAUCGCCUGAAUAGAUUAGCAUGGAAUAAUAAAAUAGGACGGCAUGGUUCUAUUUUGUUGGUUUCUAGGAUCACCGUAAUGAUUAAUAGGGAUAGUUGGGGGCAUUAGUAUUCAAUUGUCAGAGGUGAAAUUCUUGGAUUUAUUGAAGACUAACUUCUGCGAAAGCAUUUGCCAAGGAUGUUUUCAUUAAUCAAGAACGAAAGUUAGGGGAUCGAAGACGAUCAGAUGCCGUCGUAGUCUUAACCAUAAACUAUGCCGACUAGGGAUCGGACGAUGUUAAUUUUUUAAUGACUCG
RNAcentral lists this ribosomal RNA (510 nucleotides) under uncultured Glomus. RNAcentral describes it as "SSU rRNA". It matches the Rfam family "Eukaryotic small subunit ribosomal RNA", at positions 569 to 1078 of the family's 1831-position model. Lineage: Eukaryota; Fungi; Glomeromycota; Glomeromycetes; Glomerales; Glomeraceae. The record is from RNAcentral. RNAcentral also lists the same sequence under 1 other name.